GCUAGGGUUGUGGCUCAGUGGUAGAGAGCUCGCCUAGCAUGUGUGAGGCCCUGGGUUCAAUUCUCAGCUCUGCA
This 74-nucleotide transfer RNA is filed under the name Marmota monax (woodchuck). Its description in RNAcentral is "tRNA.Ala". It matches the Rfam family "tRNA". Rfam says of the family: Transfer RNA (tRNA) molecules are approximately 80 nucleotides in length. Their secondary structure includes four short double-helical elements and three loops (D, anti-codon, and T loops). Lineage: Eukaryota; Metazoa; Chordata; Mammalia; Rodentia; Sciuridae. The record is from RNAcentral.